Long non-coding RNA from Cynocephalus volans (Philippine flying lemur), 2018 nucleotides. RefSeq lists it as uncharacterized. NCBI's taxonomy places the organism in Eukaryota, Metazoa, Chordata, Mammalia, Dermoptera, Cynocephalidae. The transcript is spliced from 3 exons. The record is from RefSeq and is a predicted model, not a curated record.
AGAGCGACCAAUGGGGAGCCAGUUUAGUUCAGGCUAAACCGCUCCUAGCCAAUGAAACCAGAUGAUUUUUUGUGUAUACAAAUAGAGGAUGCGCAGACUCCCCGCACAAGCCUCCUCUCAGCCGUGGUGUGGGUGUCGCUGGAAAUCAAUUUACAGUUUUCUACCAGGUGCCAUUUUGUGCUGGCAUUGAUCUGUGACCUGUGUUGCAGAAGUUCGAUGGCCAGUUAGAAUAACCUUGCCGGUUUGGACCUCCUGGCCCUUAAGUGUGUAACCUCUGACCCCACCAGGCCUCAUGGAGGACGCCAGGCCUCAGUUUCCUCAUGUUGCAAAUGUGCACUGGGAUCCUUUCUGAUGCCAGGGAAAGGAGUCGGGAGAGUCCCAAGGCCUUAUUCGGGGCAUUUCUCUGUCUGUGACUGAUCCAUGGCCACCAGCCACAGGACUUCUCUGGGACUCGGUUUCCCAGUUUAGGGAAUGGACACACAGUUGCCUGGAAAAGGGUGGCCAGAGCUGCCUGGGCAGCCCUUAGGAUUUGCCAAGCAAGGAGGAAGCCCGGAAGCUGAACUUGGUCUGUUUGCUCAUCUGUGCAGUGGGGACGUGGUGCCCAUCUCAGUGCAUCCCUGCCAGUCUGUGGGUCAGAAUGCGAGGCAGAGGCAUCCUCCGCACAUCUUAGCACCUUGGUGCUCCCACAGCAGUUUAGUUUGUUGGCCUUUUCAGUCGUGCACAGGACCAGCAGUAUCUGGGCCUAACUUGGCCAAAGGAACCUGAAAAGACUAUUGGCUACCAUCUUCCCUUCAAGGAGCCUCAGCUUCCUGGAAAAGGAAAAAGGAAGGUACAAAAGAAACUUUCAGCACAACAAUCAUCAUCAUAAGUACAGUUUGUGGAGAAUUGGGUACAUGUGGGCAUUUUACACGCCUUACCUUCUAUUUUAGCCUGCUGUGUGCAGACGAUUCCAGCCCAUUUAACAGGCAAGGAAACUGAAGGAGCAGGAGGUCAGGUGACUUGCCCAGGUCCCCCAGCAAGGACAUGGCAGAGCUGGUGGUUAAACUGAGCUGUAUCUCAAAAACCCACCCCAAAGACAUAACGAUAAUGAUGAUAAUACUACUGGUUAUUAUCUAUUAUGUGUGUGUUGUGUGCCAAGCACUGUUCUAAUUUCUUUACAUGCUUGAUCUCAUUUAAUCCUGCAACAACCUUGUCAGGUGGCUACUGUGAUCCCCUCUGGACAUGUGUAUUCGUUCAAUACAUUUUUUUGGAGAACCUGUGAUGUGGCAUGCAAGAUGCUAUGGGGAUACAGCAGAGAAUAAAAGGGACAAAACCCGUGCUUUCCUGGAGCUUACAUCCUAGUGGCGCAGCCAGACAGCGAGUCAAGUGAAGCAGUGGGAGUGGAGAAAGAACAAAGAAAUCUGUAACUGGUUGUGAUCAAUUUGUUCUACUCUUGCUGCCAGCGGCCUCAAGUCCACUGCUGAUUGGCUCCUCCCUGGAAGAGAAUUUCCUCUUUUUUGGGGGGACACUCCUGUUGUCUGCCUCUUCAGGAUCACUAACUGUUUCCUUCGGUGAAGAUUUCUUUCUCUUGGGAAGAUUUGUGCUGCCAGCUCUCUUCAAGAUCACUAUUAACCAGCUCCUCCUUGGAAAAAGAUUACUUUUUUUUUUUUUUUUUUAAGAUGACUGGUAAGGGGAUCUUAACCCUUGACUUGGUGUUGUCAGCACCACGCUCUCCCAAGUGAGCCAUGGGCCGGCCGGCCUUAUAUAGGGAUCCAAACCCGUGGUCUUGGUGUUAUCAGCACCACACUCUCCCAAGUGAGCCACAGACCGGCCCUAAGAUUUCUUUUUUUGGGUUUAGAGAAAGAGGUAGAUGGGUUUUCCACUCCAUUCUCGAGGAGCCUCCUGUGAUUUUUGCUUUUUUUUUUUUUCCCUUAUGAAUAAUAGCCUUAAAACUGGGCCAGCAACCCUUUUCCAAAAUGAUUUUUCGACCUCGUGGCCCAUUGGUCUCUGUUCCAUCCUGCUCAACUCUGCUGCUGUAG